RNAcentral lists this ribosomal RNA (172 nucleotides) under uncultured epsilon proteobacterium KNIB01. RNAcentral describes it as "partial 16S ribosomal RNA". It matches the Rfam family "Bacterial small subunit ribosomal RNA", at positions 335 to 524 of the family's 1533-position model. The record is from RNAcentral. Lineage: Bacteria; Pseudomonadati; Campylobacterota.
ACUCCUACGGGAGGCAGCAGUGAGGAAUAUUGCACAAUGGAGGGAACUCUGAUGCAGCAACGCCGCGUGGAGGAUGACGCAUUUCGGGGUGUAAACUCCUUUUAUAUGUCAAGAAAAUGACGGUAGCAUAUGAAUAAGCACCGGCUAACUCCGUGCCAGCAGCCGCGGUAAU